RNAcentral lists this ribosomal RNA (254 nucleotides) under uncultured bacterium. RNAcentral describes it as "partial 16S ribosomal RNA". It matches the Rfam family "Bacterial small subunit ribosomal RNA", at positions 524 to 776 of the family's 1533-position model. The record is from RNAcentral.
GACGUAAGGCGCGAGCGUUGUCCGGAUUUAUUGGGCGUAAAGAGCUCGUAGGCGGCUUGUCGCGUCGACUGUGAAAACCCGUGGCUCAACCAUGUGGUCUGCAGUCGAUACGGGCAGGCUAGAAUUCGGUAGGGGAGACUGGAAUUCCUGGUGUAGCGGUGAAAUGCGCAGAUAUCAGGAGGAACACCGGUGGCGAAGGCGGGUCUCUGGGCCGAUAUUGACGCUGAGGAGCGAAAGCGUGGGGAGCGAACAGG